GGGGGUGUUCUGGUUUUGACAUCUGAUUAAUUGGCAGGCAAGCGUGCCGAGCGUUGGAAGAGUAGCUCGUUAAUAUCUAACUUUCAGCCAUAUAAUUGGCAACACUAAUGUAAGACUCGCUGCGUAAACUGCUAAGCAGACGCGCUUAAUCCUUGAGGCUCAAGGAGCUUCGGACGAGUAUCCCGCUCCCUUUUUUUCUUCUUGAAUGGAGCAUACGGGGUAUCAUACAAAAGAGGAAUGCGGUGGCAGACUCCUUUAAUGCCCCCUAAGAAAUAAAGGAUAAGCUGUCAUCUUGCCCGCUUUGGGGCGGGGCGGCAGACGAAAAUCAAACCAAAGAUACGCACGUAGAAAACCUGUUGGUGGUCUGAUUGGACAGCGGUUCGACUCCGCUCACCUCCACA
RNAcentral lists this transfer-messenger RNA (401 nucleotides) under bovine gut metagenome. It matches the Rfam family "transfer-messenger RNA". From Rfam's summary of the family: Bacterial tmRNA, also known as 10Sa RNA or SsrA, is named for its dual tRNA and mRNA-like properties. Its role is to liberate the mRNA from a stalled ribosome. The record is from RNAcentral. RNAcentral also lists the same sequence under 1 other name.